This 253-nucleotide ribosomal RNA is filed under the name uncultured bacterium. RNAcentral describes it as "partial 16S ribosomal RNA". It matches the Rfam family "Bacterial small subunit ribosomal RNA", at positions 524 to 776 of the family's 1533-position model. The record is from RNAcentral.
UACGGGGGGGGCAAGCGUUGUUCGGAAUUACUGGGCGUAAAGGGCUCGUAGGUGGCCAACUAAGUCAGACGUGAAAUCCCUCGGCUUAACCGGGGAACUGCGUCUGAUACUGGAUGGCUUGAGUUCGGGAGAGGGAUGCGGAAUUCCAGGUGUAGCGGUGAAAUGCGCAGAUAUCGGGAAGAACACCCGUGGCGAAGGCGGCUCUCUGGGACGGUACUGACGCUGAGACGCGAAAGCGUGGGGAGCGAACAGG